UCCUCACUAGGACUACCUUGGCCAAGGUUUUGCUAAAUUAAAAUAUGACUGUACACAGCUCCUGAAUUGGAGUGGUCAAUCGUAUCUUGACACACGCACCGACAAGUCAAGUACUUGACUACACCCAGCAGCCUUCCGUCACUGAAUUAAAAAUUCAGGUAGUCCAGUGCCUAAGUGCAGUGAGUUGCUUGCAAGUCACCGUAGCGGUCUC
Molecule: long non-coding RNA, 211 nt
Filed under: Elaeis guineensis (African oil palm)
Lineage: Eukaryota; Viridiplantae; Streptophyta; Magnoliopsida; Arecales; Arecaceae
Description: long non-coding RNA (EGUI_LNC082465)
Source: RNAcentral